Molecule: ribosomal RNA, 467 nt
Filed under: uncultured bacterium
Lineage: Bacteria
Description: partial 16S ribosomal RNA
Rfam family: Bacterial small subunit ribosomal RNA
Source: RNAcentral
GACGAACGCUGGCGGCGUGCUUAACACAUGCAAGUCGAACGGAAAGGCCCUGCUUUUGUGGGGUGCUCGAGUGGCGAACGGGUGAGUAACACGUGAGUAACCUGCCCUUGACUUUGGGAUAACUUCAGGAAACUGGGGCUAAUACCGGAUAGGAGCUCCUGCUGCAUGGUGGGGGUUGGAAAGUUUCGGCGGUUGGGGAUGGACUCGCGGCUUAUCAGCUUGUUGGUGGGGUAGUGGCUUACCAAGGCUUUGACGGGUAGCCGGCCUGAGAGGGUGACCAGCCACAUUGGGACUGAGAUACGGCCCAGACUCCUACGGGAGGCAGCAGUGGGGAAUAUUGCACAAUGGGCGGAAGCCUGAUGCAGCAACGCCGCGUGCGGGAUGACGGCCUUCGGGUUGUAAACCGCUUUCGCCUGUGACGAAGCGUGAGUGACGGUAAUGGGGAAAGAAGCACCGGCGAACUACGU